AUAACCUUGCGAAAGUAAGACUAAUACCCAAUGACGUCUCUAGAAGACAUCUGAAGGAGAUUAAAGAUUUAUCGGUGAUGGAUGGGGAUGCGUCUGAUUAGCUUGUUGGCGGGGUAACGGCCCACCAAGGCGACGAUCAGUAGGGGUUCUGAGAGGAAGGUCCCCCACAUUGGAACUGAGACACGGUCCAAACUCCUACGGGAGGCAGCAGUGAGGAAUAUUGGUCAAUGGGCGAGAGCCUGAACCAGCCAAGUAGCGUGCAGGAUGACGGCCCUAUGGGUUGUAAACUGCUUUUAUAAGGGAAUAAAGUGAGUCUCGUGAGACUUUUUGCAUGUACCUUAUGAAUAAGGACCGGCUAAUUCCGUGCCAGCAGCCGCGGUAAUACGGAAGGUCCGGGCGUUAUCCGGAUUUAUUGGGUUUAAAGGGAGCGUAGGCCGGAGAUUAAGCGUGUUGUGAAAUGUAGAGGCUCAACAUCUGCACUGCAGCGCGAACUGGUUUCCUUGAGUACGCACAAAGUGGGCGGAAUUCGUGGUGUAGCGGUGAAAUGCUUAGAUAUCACGAAGAACUCCGAUUGCGAAGGCAGCUCACGGGAGCGCAACUGACGCUGAAGCUCGAAAGUGCGGGUAUCGAACAGGAUUAGAUACCCUGGUAGUCCGCACGGUAAACGAUGGAUGCCCGCUGUUGGUCUGAAUAGGUCAGCGGCCAAGCGAAAGCAUUAAGCAUCCCACCUGGGGAGUACGCCGGCAACGGUGCAACUCAAAGGAAUUGACGG
Molecule: ribosomal RNA, 772 nt
Filed under: uncultured Bacteroidota bacterium
Lineage: Bacteria; Pseudomonadati; Bacteroidota
Description: bacterial SSU rRNA
Rfam family: Bacterial small subunit ribosomal RNA
Source: RNAcentral